UAGCGAAAGGGCAUACCCGUCGUGAGGCGGGGGCGCAAAGCCACGGGACUCUCAACGAGUCGGCCGGGCUGCCGAGU
RNAcentral lists this non-coding RNA (77 nucleotides) under Acidobacteriota bacterium. RNAcentral describes it as "Acidobacteria bacterium c-di-GMP sequence". It matches the Rfam family "c-di-GMP-I-GGC riboswitch aptamer". Lineage: Bacteria; Pseudomonadati; Acidobacteriota. The record is from RNAcentral.